Molecule: ribosomal RNA, 254 nt
Filed under: uncultured bacterium
Lineage: Bacteria
Description: partial 16S ribosomal RNA
Rfam family: Bacterial small subunit ribosomal RNA
Source: RNAcentral
UACAGAGGUCCCAAGCGUUGUUCGGAAUCACUGGGCGUAAAGGGCGCGUAGGCGGUCGUGACAAGUCACUUGUGAAAUCUCCGGGCUUAACUCGGAACGGUCAAGUGAUACUGUCGGACUAGAGUACAGAAGGGGCAACUGGAAUUCUCGGUGUAGCGGUGAAAUGCGUAGAUAUCGAGAGGAACACCCGGGGCGAAGGCGGCUCACUGGCCCGAUACUGACGCUGAGGUGCGAAAGCGUGGGGAGCAAACAGG